AACGAACGCUGGCGGCAGGCCUAACACAUGCAAGUCGAACGCGAAGAUACCUUUCGGGGUAUCGUUAGCGUGGCGCACGGGUGAGUAACGCGUGGGAAUCUACCUUUCGGCGGGGGAUAACUUCAAGAAAUUGGAGCUAAUACCGCAUAAGCCCUUUUUAGGGGAAAGAUUUAUCACCGAAAGAUGAGCCCGCGUCGGAUUAGUUAGUCGGUAGGGUAACGGCCUACCGAGACGAUGAUCCGUAGCCGGUCUGAGAGGACGAUCGGCCACACCGGGACUGAGACACGGCCCGGACUCCUACGGGAGGCAGCAGUGGGGAAUAUUGGACAAUGGCGCAAGCCUGAUCCAGCCAUGCCGCGUGAGUGACGAAGGCC
RNAcentral lists this ribosomal RNA (374 nucleotides) under uncultured bacterium. RNAcentral's name for it is "bacterial SSU rRNA". It matches the Rfam family "Bacterial small subunit ribosomal RNA", at positions 29 to 416 of the family's 1533-position model. The record is from RNAcentral.